AACGUAGGAGACAAACGUUAUCCGGAGUUACUGGGCGUAAAGGGCGUGUAGGCGGUUUGUUAAGUCUGGCGUGAAAGCUCUCGGCUAAACCGGGAGAGGUCGUUGGAUACUGGCAAACUAGAGGACGGUAGAGGCGUGUGGAAUUCCGGGUGUAGUGGUGAAAUGCGCAGAGAUCGGGAGGAACACCCGUAGCGAAGGCGGCACUCUGGGCCGGUACUGACGCUGAGGAGCGAAAGCGUGGGGAGCAAACAGG
RNAcentral lists this ribosomal RNA (253 nucleotides) under uncultured bacterium. Its description in RNAcentral is "partial 16S ribosomal RNA". It matches the Rfam family "Bacterial small subunit ribosomal RNA", at positions 524 to 776 of the family's 1533-position model. The record is from RNAcentral.